GGAAAAAAUAACUGACUUUUAAAUGAUUUUUAGUUGUAAUUAUAACAAUAGCUAUACUUCUUCCACUGAUGGCUUUUUUCCCAUAGAUGGUCUAUUUUUAUCCUGACAUUUGUGUCCAUUCUAUGAAUUUCAUCAUGGGGAAGAAACAGCAGUUCGUCUUAGAGCAGCUCACUUUCGAUCUCCAGGACAUAACAUCAUGCACAUCAAAGAGAAGUGAUUCAUGAUUCUCAAGUAACUGUAAAAUAAAACAAUUUGAUACGAGGCUGGUGUCUGGCUACAGAUAAAGAAGUUUGAUGAAUAACUGAGUGAAAAAUGUGAACAUCCCUAUGCAUCUAGUGUUAUCACAUGUAUCCAAUGACAAGUGUUUAUUCUCAAGAAGCAGGAGAUGCCUCAAGAUUCACUGACCAUAUUUAUAAUUAUACAUUUAUAAAUGUAUAAUUAUAAAAAGUAGCAUAGUGUUAAUUAUACAAUGCUGAAAUUAUUAUUUUAUUGGAGUAGAUAUUCUCCAAUCUGUAAUUAUAAUAAUCACUAUUAAAAAUUCCAAUUACCAUGUUAAUGUGUUCAAUUGCAUGUGUGUAUAUCUUGGCAAAAAUUCAGUUCUCUAGGUACAAUGUUGUGGCACUGUUACUAAAAAUUUAAUACAGCAUUUCACAGAACAGAAUUUGAUCGAAAUAAUAGACUGGCACAACCUCUGGAAAC
RNAcentral lists this long non-coding RNA (699 nucleotides) under Heterocephalus glaber (naked mole-rat). RNAcentral describes it as "lncRNA (ENSHGLG00100043008.1)". Lineage: Eukaryota; Metazoa; Chordata; Mammalia; Rodentia; Bathyergidae. The record is from RNAcentral.